RNAcentral lists this ribosomal RNA (468 nucleotides) under uncultured bacterium. RNAcentral's name for it is "partial 16S ribosomal RNA". It matches the Rfam family "Bacterial small subunit ribosomal RNA", at positions 28 to 507 of the family's 1533-position model. The record is from RNAcentral.
GACGAACGCUGGCGGCGUGCUUAACACAUGCAAGUCGAACGGAAAGGCCCUGCUUUUGUGGGGUGCUCGAGUGGCGAACGGGUGAGUAACACGUGAGUAACCUGCCCUUGACUUUGGGAUAACUUCAGGAAACUGGGGCUAAUACAGGAUAGGAGCUCCUGCUGCAUGGUGGGGGUUGGAAAGUUUCGGCGGUUGGGGAUGGACUCGCGGCUUAUCAGCUUGUUGGUGGGGUAGUGGAUUACCAAGGCUUUGACGGGUAGCCGGCCUGAGAGGGUGACCGGCCACAUUGGGACUGAGGUACGGCCCAGACUCCUACGGGAGGCAGCAGUGGGGAAUAUUGCACAAUGGGCGGAAGCCUGAUGCAGCAACGCCGCGUGCGGGAUGACGGCCUUCGGGUUGUAAACCGCUUUCGCCUGUGACGAAGCGUGAGUGACGGUAAUGGGUAAAGAAGCACCGGCUAACUACGUG